AAAUCGUUCGAGAGCCAAAACUUAAACCUCCGCAGAUCCUCUGCCAGCAGAUCAUCCAGAGUGAAAACGAGCAAGGACCGGACUCCAGCCAUCUCAGCUCACUAGACAAAGUGGAAAAUCGGAUAUAAAAAACCAGUCAUACAGGAGCAAAGAACAGCGAUGUUUGAUUUAGAGAAAGAACAGGAACAAUAAGGUAUGCUUUCACUGGGAAGUGAAAGCAUUCUCCAUAUCCGGACUGUUCACGCAAGCGGAAUUUCCCAGUAGAGCGCUUCCCGUCAGAGCUCUCGCCGUCCAACUCAAGACAAGGAAGAUUGCUGAAAAGUCCACAAUUACAGUAACGGUGCCGCUACACGUGUGUUGACUAAUGCAACUACGGGGCGUGGUUUGUGCGAUGCGGUAAAUCUUGUUGAUAUAGCGUGGUUUGGGGGAAAAAUGACGCGACUGGCAUAUGUUGAAAUGCCCAUUAUGGCCGCUAUGUUGACAUGUCAGUUUCCCUUGCUGGCAAUGAAAACAUACAGACCUCCAGAACAAUAUCUCUCCACUCUUCUGAAAGAUUUUUCAGUUCUGCUGUCAGUCAUUCAACUUUGAUAGGUGUAUUUUAGUUUGUGAUUUUAACCGACGUGCUGAUAAUAAGGAAGAUAUCAGAGCAAUGGAAAGUCUAUUGGACUGUGUGGAUUACCGGCCACACCCGGUCAUAUUACAUGGGUUUAACAUAAAUGUUAUCAUCUAUUGAUGACUUGGCUUUAUCUGACCAUCAUUGUAUCUUUUUCCAAAUAUUUUUAGCUGUACCAUACCGAAUUUUAAUGCGGACAUUGUUUUUCUUUAAAUGUAUUUAUUUAUUUAUUUAUUUAUUUAUUUUUAAAGUGCCGACUGAGCUCUGAAGUAGCCAAAAACUUCAUAGCUUAUGUAAAUGGAACUCCAAAAAGUAAAACCUACUGUGACCUUGUAUAUGAUUUUAAUUGAAGUUUGAAAAACAGCCCCUGUUGCUCCUGUUAAGAUAAAGAAAACAAUCUUGAAGAGGAGAGUUCCAUGAAAAAAAUAAGUGAUUAUUGGAUUAAAAAGAUACUGUUUUUAGGACUGCUGAGUGCAAAUGGAGAAAAACAGAAUUACAUGUGCACGAAACUAGGAUUCAGUGACAAUAAUGUUUAUUAUUAUGCACCAAUACUAAACAGUACUCCACAAAUCUCCAACAAUGAUGUCAAAAGUCACUUGUACUCAGCAUGGUACAGUAGUUGUACAUCAGUGCUCCUUGAUUGGUAUUGAAGAUGAGUUACUGUAAUGCUAUCCCUUUCAACAAUGCAGAAAAUACAGUAUGCAUGACCGCUAAAGUUUUAA
Anguilla rostrata (American eel) is the source of this 1335-nucleotide long non-coding RNA. RefSeq lists it as uncharacterized. The transcript has 2 exons. Lineage: Eukaryota; Metazoa; Chordata; Actinopteri; Anguilliformes; Anguillidae. The record is from RefSeq and is a predicted model, not a curated record.